UCCAACAAAAUUCAAUGCAAAACAACAAUUAAGCUAAGAGAAAUCUUGCCUCAAAGUUGCCUGACUUUCUCGGCCUAGUCAGAGCACCCCUGGCCACAAAAACCCUUGCCCUUGCUCCAUUCCAGUUGUGCAAUGCAUAUGCUUUUAGCAUUCCAGAAACUAGAAUUGAAGCCGCAUCACCUCCAACAAUUUUUUUUUGAAAAUCUUGAGUGAAUUCCAAGAUAUGACCUUCCAAAGUAGCUUGAGUUGGCGGAGUGCUACAUCUUCACCACGGCCGACUCCUCUUCACUCCAACCACCAUAACUUCCUUGGCCUUUACUCAAUCUAAGCGUGCAAAUAGUCCUUGCAAAGCUGACAACAAGAACCAUCCCCCACAAAAGUUUCAGGUCCAAAUUCAAUAUUGUCCGCCAACACUCGCCUUCCAAAGUCGGACCUCCAGAUCUGGCCGGCAGCUGACCUCCUUGUCACUAAAACCACCACAACUUUCUUGUUUUCUCUCCAAACAAAGCGUGCCUACUGUCCCGAGGAAGCUAACGACAAGAUCUAACUAUUGGUAAAGUUUGACAUUCUAUUUCCAGAUAACUAAUACACUACAGCUGCACAAUUGCAGCUCUAUAGAAACAAGGGUACGUGGAGAUGCAAUUUGGCAUGGCUUCACCCCAAAAAAAAAAAAAAAAGAAAGAGAGCGAGUGUGGCCACCCCCACCCUCUUAUCCAAGUAGGAAGAGACCAAAGGGUGGCGGCCACAUCUCCACCAUCCGAAUCCACCAACCCUAAUCAAGAUCAAGGGUCCACAUUAACCCUAAGUCCUAAAUCCGAUUUUAGUGCUGGACAUGCCCAAAAUCUCCAAUUCGAAGCGUUUUUUGACAAAACUAACUCCACCAAUGUCUUUAAAACAUAUUUAAACAUCAAGUUUGACUAUUCAUAUACCCAAAUCUAAGUUCUAGAUCAUUAAGAACCAAUAAUUUGACAAAUCCAUCACAAUAAAUUUACUUCUAAUUAUUUUCUUCUCCUUUUUCUUCUUCUUCUCCUUGUCCCUCUUCAUCUUCUUCCUUCUUUCUUCUUGGCCUUUUUGUUUUGUUUUUGUUUUUUUUUUUUUUUUUUUUUCUUUUGAUUAUUUUUCUUAUCUUUCCCACCACUCCCUUCUCCCUUGAUUUUUCUUUCCACUACUAAUCAUCAAUAAGCCACUAACAUUAAUGUCUAUAACUAACUUAUUAUAACAAAACAUACUCAAAAUCCUCAUUUUUUUUAGAUUUUUUUAGUUUAACCAACAAUGUUAACCAACUUUUGGGCUCACAUAAUUGGCGACCAUCAGGGGACAAAUCCAGCUUGUACUUGCCAAUUUUUGUCUUUUAAAGUAUUUUCACCAUGCCAGUUCGUACUAUCGCCUUGUCAUAAGAUAGAAAGGUGAAGCUCUUGCCCAAAAUUGCGCUCCCUCAUGUCUUAUAUUCUUUACACCUGCUACCUGAUGUUCGUGUGGGAAACAAUUGACCAUUCAAGGUCUCCAAUUACAUGGAGUUGUUUAAAAACACCUCCUUGACAAAAUAAGGACCUAACCAUACGGCAUCAAACUUGCUUGGAAAGUCGAUCUUUCGAGCAUCUUGUAACAAUACUAGCAUACUAGGUUGCAAGACUCGAGUCUUGUUCCGUUUAUCAAACACGACCUUGCGCCGCCUCUGGAUGGCCUCAAUGUGUUGAGCCCCUCGUCUUCUGCUCUCAUCCAACGCCUCGAGCUCGUACAACCUUGUCUUUAAAGAUUGUCUGUCAGUCAAUCUGGAAUCUACUGCAAUCCGAAGGGAUGGAACCUCAAACUCAAUUAGUAAAACUGCUUCGAGUCCAUAGACUAGAGAGAAUGGCAUAGCCUGCGUGGUCACCUUGAAUAUUGUUCUAUAUGCCCAUAAGGCGGCUGGCAGUUUCACAUCCCAAUCACGCUUGGAGUCUCUAACAGUUUUCCUCAAUAUAGUACCAAGUGUUUGGUUGACUUGCUCUGUCUGACCAUUGGUUUGAGGGUGAUAGGGUGUAAUCUUUCGGUGAUCAAUCUGGAAUCGCUCAGUCAUGGAUUCAAUCACCUCGUUGAGGAAAUGAGUACCUCGAUCACUCACAAGGAUCUUCGGGACUCCAAAUCUAGUAAUCACAUUCUCAAAGAAAAAGAUUGCAGCAUUCUUGGCAUCAUUUGUCCUCACAGCCUUGGCUUCAGCCCACUUAGUGAGAUAUUCAGUGGCCACUACAAUAUAUGCCAUUCCUCGAGAUGAAUGAGGAUGAAUCUCUCCCACGUAAUCGAUGCCCCACUUCUCGAAUGGCACCAAUGGUAGGAAAAUGUGAAGCGGCAACUGCAUGUGAAUGUCAUUCCUAGCAAAUCUUUGACAUGCAUCACAAUGCUUCACAUAGGUAUGAGCGUCCUUACUAACCAUAUAUCCCAACAAAAUGCCUCUAUUCAAGGCAAGAUAGGUUUUUUCUGGAUUCAGGGCCAUUCAAGCUUUCUUGUACCUCUCUAAGCUUUCUUUCACCAAAUGAAUGUGAGAAUCUGCAUCAGAUUGGGUGCUGAAAUCAUCAAUGAACACGGUCAUUGAUUUGUAUAACAAGUCUGAGAAGAUAGACAUCACCAGACAUUAGAAAGUAGCAGGGGCGUUACAUAAUCCAAAUGGCAUCACAUGCCACACAAACGUCCCCCAAGGUGUUGUAAAUGCAGUCUUGUGUCGAUCUUCAGGUGCAAUAGACACUUGGUUGUAUCCAGAAUAUCCAUCCAUAAAUGUGUAUAAAUCGUGACCUGCCACUUCUUCUAAGAUGCUAGUGAUAAAUGGCAAGGGAAAGUGGUCUUUUUGGGUGCAAAAAUUCAACUUCCUAUAAUCCACACACACCCUAAGUUUACCAUUCUUCUUCUUUACAAGCACCAUGGAAGAGACCCAAUCUGUGAUCUCAAUAGGUUUAAUAAAACUUGCUUGGAGUAAUUUCUCCAGUUCCUCUUUCACAAUCAAUUGAAGCUGAGGAUUCAUUCUCCUCUCCUUUUGCCUGAUCGGCACUGCACCAGUCAUCAAGGGAAUUCGAUGUUCUACAAUCUCAGGAGGAAUCCCCUUUAACUCCUUGUAAGCCCAUGCAAAGACCUCCCGAUACUCUCUUACCAACUCACAGUAGGCCUUGAUCUCUUCAUCCUCUAAUUGGCUUUCCAUCUUCAUUUGUCUUGGUUCUUCUCCUUCAAACUCCACUGUCACAAACUUCCAAUCUUCCUUAGCAACGUGAGAUUGCUCAUUGUUAUCUCGAUACCAAUCCGAAGGCACAUUGGGAUAACUGAAAACGUCUUCUCCAACCGUAAUUCCCGAAGAACCAGUCUUAAAUUUCAAUGAUCCUCCCAAAUGCUCACUUUCCUCUAAAACCUCUACUCCUUCAACAUCCUCUAUUCCAAUCAAAUGGACAUCUACCUCAAUUAAAGGUGUCAAACCAUCGUCCAACUCCAUUCCAAUGAGAUUCAAUCCUGCCGUCAAUUCUGAUGAAGAAUCAGGGUUGUCCUGGAGCCACUUGGCAUACUCUCCAUUGUCUGACCAAUGGUAGAGAUUUGGACCAAGACACUUCAAGGUUUGAACCUCAGCUUCAAACGUCAUCCCAUCCAUGGAUUUUAAUGGUGUGCCUUCUCCAAUAGAUAUGGUGUCAACCACCUCGAGUCCUAUCAAAGGCUUGAUUCUAACUUUAGUGGGGUUUUCAUAUGGACCGUAAACUAUGGAGGGCUUAUCACCACUCGACAUGAUGGUGGCAUUGGCCAUCCUCAACCACGGACGACCUAAGAGAAGUGGAAAAGAUUCUUUGGAAGUGUGCAUCCUGAUAACAUGGAAGGUCACUAAGUAAUCCUCCCCUCCUGUAGAGAUUUUACAGUUCGUGAUCUGGCCUAAAGGCCUCACAAGACUCUGAUCUGCCAUGUUUAAUAUAAAUGGUGAAGGUCCGGUUAAAUUCAACCCCAACUUCUCCAUGGUAUGAAGUGGCAUGAUGUUAAGCCCACUACCUCCAUCAAUGAGUACAUUCGGAACCACCUUGACUACGAUAGUGACCUCGAUCUCCACUGCCUUCACAUCCACUGGCCUAAUAGAUGCUUGUACCCUAGCCAUUGUCCUCUUCUGAGUCUUCUUCUUCCUCUUCGCCCUAGGCAAUCCUUCUUUGAAACUCUUCCUCAUCAAAGGAGAUAUCUCCAAUAGUUGAGCAAUUGAGAUGUCAGCCUUUAUCCUCCACAAGUCCCUCCAGAGAUUAUACUUCUAGUAAGAGGUUGGCGUCGUACGACCCAACCCUCCAAACUCCUCCUCUGGAAUAUCUGGACCCUCCCAUUCACCCGGUUCUAACCCUUUACCUGGAUCAGAGCCUUCAGAUGACCUUUCAUCACCUACUGCGGUACCUACCUCCCUUCUAAUUCUUGCCGCCUCCUUUGCAGCCGCCUCAAGAGCUACUAAAUCCAACAACUCUUCAAACUCACUACUAUCUGAGUCUUCUUCAUCGAUUGGUGAUUGCCUAUGAGCUUGCCCUCGGGUAAUCACAUCCAAAGUAGCAUUCUCAUGGCCACCGCCUCCGUCUUUCUUCAAUUCGUGGGUCACUAAAUUAGAAGGUGCUUCAUGUUCUUCAAUCACCACUGUGGUCUUUGCUAGAGGUGGCGCAGGACCCUUCAAUAAGACCUCUUCUGCUACUCUAACAUCUUAGUUAGAAGAUGGACCUUGUUUCUGGUUUGCAUAGUUUCGAUAGCCGCCUUGUUGAUUUUGGGCAACUGGGAUAUAACCUUGGCGGCUUAGUAACCCUUCCGGAGGUUGAUGGUUUUGUCUGAAAUCCUCAUAGUUGUAGUAGAGAUUAGGAGGUUUUAGGCCCCUCUGAUCAUCACCAUGAGGUCGUCUCUGAUCUCUCAUAUUAUUUCGCGCGUUCUCAUAAGGAUUUGUUAUUCGUGGUGGUAGUUGAAUUACCUUAUCAGGUUGUCUACAUUCAUGGGUAGGGUGAUUGCCACCACAAUUGCCACACGGCCAUGGUUGGCCAUCAUCCCAACACUGACUCGGCUCAUGCCAUCUCCUGCAAAGCUCAUGGUACUCCUUCCGAGGCUUGCCACUUCAACCAUAUCCUUGAGGACCACCUUGAUAACCUCCUUGCCGCUGCUAAGGUCCUCUAUCUCUUCUAUAGCCCUGUGUUGGCUAGUACGGUUGAGGAUUUGGAUUACCUUGAGGCCUUACUCGGCACUGAAGAGAUGAAUGCCCAUUUUGGCCACAAGUAGUGCACCAAACCCCCAAGUUAUGGUUACCAGACUCUAUCCGAGGAGGUGGGGUGUUUGAAUUUUGAUUCUUUACCAUGAAUGCCAUCUGCUCAGUCAAGGCUUGGAUCUGCUUCAUCAUGGAGUCUUGAAAACCUUCUUGUCCGGCCUAUAUUUUCUUCUCCAAGUCUUCCACUCUCCUCUCCAAUUGUGGCUCUGGUAACGCCAAUAAGGGUACCGGAGCUCUGAUGGCCAUGGGCAUGACAUUAUAAUAUUAGGCACCAUUUUUGACUAUCAGAGGUGUACUUGACGUGCUUGGUCCUACCGCUUGGCUUACGGGAUUAAUUGGAAUAAACCCCGGGAUAGACUAAUCUUCCUUCCUCCAAUGCCUUUCAUAACUUCUCUCGAUUAAAUCUACAACGCGCGCCGCUGUUUUGACUUCCUCCAAAGUGGCUGGAUUUCUCUCUAAUACUCCCUUGAUUGUAGAUCGAUUAGCAAAUCCUUCAAUGAAGAAUUGUUUUAACGUAUCGCCAUUCAACAAUCCUCCUACAUAACGCAUGCAGACCAAGUCAAACCUCCUGAUGUAGUUAGCCAUUUUCUCAUCUCUUUGCUGUCGUACCGCUCCCAGUGCUCUCAAGGCUGUACUUUGUCCAACCUCCGGCCUAAAGUGGUUUAAGAAGGCUACUUGCAACUGGGACCACGUGGUAAAAUGUCCCUCAUCAUCGUCCCAGUACCAAUUGUAAGCCUCACCGUGUAAGGUUUCGGGGAACCAAACCAGGUAAUACCCCUCGUUCCCAAUGAGGGAUGUUGUCAAAAUCUCUAUGUACCUCUCCAUGUGUAGGGUUGGAUCCUCGUCCUUGGUGCCAUAGAACUUGGAGAGAUUCCCUGGAACUGUGGCCACUAAUUGCCCUGCUGGCAUAGCCACGGGCAAACCUCGUGGCCUAACUAACAGAUCCAAAGCUGGAAGCCGCUCCGUCGCCAUCUCGUAAACAAAUCCUUCGACCGCAGGCACAAAGUCCAAGGUCCUAUCCUGUUCUCCUAUUUUCCUAAGGUUCACGUCUCCAAACACUCCGUCUUCAGGGUCUACGUUGUCAUAUUACGUGCUUUCCUGCUCGAGAACGCGCCGGGCGUCUGGCUGUAGAAGGUAGUAUGGAGAUUCGCCGAUAGUCAAGCAGUCUAUCAGUUUUUGACUGCUGGAAUAUAAACGACUGCAGCAAUGUACCGUAAAUCUAUACGGGUGCUCUUCGACUGCUUGUCGAAGUCCUUUUUGCCCCAGCCGGUAGGUCUCUAGACGUUACAGAGAACCCCGUACAACCCAAACUGUUAACCUUCAAUACUGCUUUGUACUUACGAUCUUGUAUCCACUGACUGUCUUGUUAGAUUAACCCAAUAAAUUUCAUUCACUCCGCAUAUUCAAUCCUAUAGACACCCUUUUAAUCCUUCAAUCACAGACGUAAUUCGAUUUCACAAAACAGUCAAGAGUAUUCAAACCCACUUCAUUUAAAAAUCCCGAUUCACCAUUAUAACACUGACUUCAGCAGCGAUUGCCUCAGUCUUCCCCAAAACUCUACGAAGAAGAAAAAUCCAAAUUCUAUGUCUUUCCUUCCCCGACCCAAAGCAUGAAGCUCCUCUCUCUAAUUCCCUUGAUCUUCAAAAAAACUCCAAUAAAAAAAAACCGAACUGGUAACCUUGCAGAAGCUUGAAAAAUCCUUCCCCCCCGAUUUCCCCUCAAAAAAAAAACCACCCCCAAAACUAUAUCCCACCUAACCUUAUCCUCUGAAUUUCUUCAAUCUUCCAUCUUAGAUCCGGAAUUGGCUCCCACCGUCAAGCUUGGAUCCGAAAUUGGCUCUCGCCGUCAAGCUUUCUCCUCCAUUUUUGCCUUUAAGAAAUCCAUUUACCAAAAACAACGUUCCCUGAGACGGCACAGAGAACAGGACAGCCUGAAACAGAAUCGAACCCCAUAAUCGGGACCACAUUGAGUCGCCCGACCAAUUCAGGUCCUAUAUUGGGAAAGAUGCCCGUAGUAACCUGGAUGUUCCUGUAAUUGGGUCAAAUUGGUCCUCGCGUCAGAUUAGCUAAGACCCGUAGUAAGACCCGGAUUGGAUUAUCGAAAUUGGAUCCAAUUGGCUCCUCGAACCCGUCUUGUGAAUUGGUCCUUCUCUUCCUGCUGACUCCCGUUAUUGGGAUCGAAUGGAGCAUUUCAGUAUGCCCCGGCUGACUGUAACGGAGUGACUGAACCUGACCACUCAGUAUUUGUACUGGAGUUGGUCGAUGCUCCCAAUAUUCGAGGUAACUGAAUAUUAAUAAAAUUCCCCUUUCUUUUUAUUUUCACUGUAUAAUCGUGUUACAACACGACAUCCACCCCCUCUGAACCUGUGCAUCCUCUGGUAUGCACCAAUUUACCCAAUUGCUGUUUGAUUCAGAAUAUAUCCCCUACGUCUUUGUCCAGUUCGUCGUCGUCACCUUCAUUAUUCAUAUCACUUUCAUCUUCUUGCUGCGGAAUCUCUGUACCUUCAUUAAGGUCUUCCAUAUUCAUCUCUGUGUGUCUUCGUUUAAAUAUUUUUACUCUCUUCCCUGCAAUUGGUAUUUUCAAUUUUGUACCAUCUAACUCCCGUAAUGAGUAAGUCGCAUUAUCAUGAACAGUUGUUACAACAUAUGGUCCAAACCAACGUUUUGAAAAUUUCCGCAAAGUACUAUGUUGAUUAUCGAGACUAUUGUCAUAAACAAGUACCCAGUCACCUUCCUCGAUUGCUUUUGGUCUCAAUCGAUGUUGCUUAUCGAAUCGCGCCUUGUUUUGUAACCUUGCUCUUUUUAACCUUUCCAAUACUAUCUGGACAUCUUUCGUUCUUUGCUCCAAUUGUCGAAUCCUAAUAGCCAGAAGUUCUUCUCUUGUCAAUCCAUCUUCCCAUGGUAGCAUAUUCUAAGUAAGUACCUUUUCUUCAAUCGGCAUAAUUGGUUUUUGACCUGUCAUAAGUUCUACUGGCAUAUAUCCUGUCACCGCAAUAUGUGUUGUUCGAUCAGCCCAUAAUGCAAAUGACAAAAGCCGUGGCCACUCUUUAACUUUCCCAUUACAAGCUUUAACCAAUGCUUUCACAAUCGGCGGGUGACCGCGUUCGCUUUUCGCAUUCCCUUCCGGAUUAUAAGCAGUAGUCAGUGAUAGUUUAACUCCACAUUUUUCAAAGAACUUACGAGCUUCUUGUGCAUUUAAUUCUCCACGAUCUGCAAUGAUUUUUCCUACGCACCUGUAACGGCAAAUGACAUCUUCAAGCAAAAACCUACAAAUCCCCUCUGUAGAUUUUGUCCUCAAUGCUCUUCCUUCUACUUGAUUUGAUAAAUCUUCACGAGCUAAAACCAAAUAUCUCAUCUGCCAUAACCCAACUGGCAUAAUAACCAAAUCAACAACCCAUUUAAAAUGAAUAGCCAGAGGAUACGUAGGAUGAAGACCAUCUCGAUGUCGGAUAUUAGAAUACGAUUGACAGAUUUCACAUGACUUUACAAAUGAGAGCACAUCUCGAUACAUAUUUUUCCACCAAUAUCGUUCCUUGAGUUUAGCAAAAGUAGCCCAGAUUCCUCUAUGCCCUGCCCAUAAACUAUCAUGAAACUCCUUUAAUAAUUUUAGUUUUUCUUCCCUUUUGCCUAUCACUCGUUGUGGCAUCCCAAUUCCUUUCUUCGGUCUCUUCCAUAAGAAUCCAUCUCGAAGUAAAAAUCCAUAUGCUUUUUUUCUUAUUUAUUUGAAUUUUUCUGUAGACCAAUUUCCCUGCUUAGACAAGGUAUUCAAAUAAUGACCAAUAUCCAAUAAUUCUCCUUCAUAAGAUUCUUCAAGAAAUAGCUUGUCUUCUCUGUUGAGAUUCGAUAUUGAAUAGAAUUUCAAUCCGACAUCAUCAAUGUCUUCAACCAUUUCGUCCUCCCUCUCGUAUCUUGCUCGAGAUAGCAUGUCUGCUACUAAAUUGUCCUUUCCAGUGAUAUGCUUAAAUUCUGGAUUUAGUGACUUAAUAUAAGCAAUCCAUCUCAACAUUGCAAUAUCUGGCGUUGAACAAUUAAUAAUCAUUCCAAGCAAUGGCAAGCAAUCUGUUUCAAUUACUACUACUGCCCCAAUCAAAUAGUCCUUUUCAGCUUUCAUAGCCGAAACGACUCCCCAAAGUUCUCUUUUGACUUGCGAAUAUGUACGCUAACGAAUACUUAAAACUUUAGCCCCAAAUCAAACUGCAAAUCUACUCCCAUUCGAAUCAUCUUGACCCACCGCCCAUCCAACGGCAAUUGGACUAGCGUCUACAAUAAGAAUCACUGGUCUAUUGCACUUAUAAUCAACCUUCCUCAAUAUUGGAGGUGACAUCAAUAAUUUCUUCAAUCUUUGCAUUACCUGAAUAUGCCUUCCUUUCCAUUCAAAUCGGUAACCCUUGCGUAACACUUCAUAUAAUGGAUCCGCUAUGUGAGCAAAAUGAAGGAUCCAGAUUCGAUAAAAUAUACAUGCACCCAAAAACCUGUGAACCUCUGUUAAAGAACCACAAUCCUCUUUCAUCCUUCCAAUUGCAUCAACUUUAGUCGGAUCUGGUUUUCUUCCGUAAGAUCCGCAUAAUUGUCCAACAAUUACAACCUCUCGCACUCCAAAUACGGACUUCAUACCCGAUAAUGUAAGAUGAACUUCUCCAAGCCGAGUUAAAAUCUUUUCACAAUCUUGUAUAUGAUCAACAACAUAUCUGCGACACCCCCUCAUAUCUAAAGUUUCAUCCUUGUCUCCUUCUCUGCACCCUUUUAUAGGAACAUCAUCCAGAAAAGGCAUAGUCUUUUCCGGAAUAAAAUCUCUCAAUACCUUAUUCAUCCCAUUCAUCAUAUGCGCAACUGAGUUGGUUGCGCCUUGAGGGAGAGUGCACAUUCUAACCAAUCCAAGCGGUGUUCUCAUCGUUGUCAUAUCUCUACUUCCUUCGGCAAGUUGAAAUUGAUCAUAACCUGAAUACAAAUCACCCAUUGAAUAGAUCGCCCUUCCAGUAAACGCCUCAGCAAAUUCAUCCACAAUAGGUCCAAUUCCUGCAUUCCUGACAGUUAAAGCAUUCACUGGCUGCAUAUUUUGAAUAAACCGUAGUGACCCAUUCUUCUUAGGUACCGUAAACCAUCGACUAGAAUACGGCGCAAAUGAAGGUUCUAAUAUUUUCAUCUUUAUCUUUUCUUUGAAUAGUUCCACCAAUUUAGGUAAAUGUGCCCUCGGUACUGGAAUCGAGCUUAGAUUCCAAGGUACAUGCAGUACAGUGAAGAUAACCAUAGGUGUUAUAAUAUUUGGAUCCACACACCCAAUUUCAUGAGAUUCGAAGGCAAACGAUCUACCUUGUUUAGCCAACAUCUUUUUGAAGCAAGUAAUUUCCUCCGGCAAUAAAGAACCAUCAGAACCAAUCUUCAAUUCUUCAAAAGUCUCUUCAGUAAACUGAUGUCCAAUACUCAUUGGAUCUCUUAAACUUGCUUCUUUUGAUGCUUCUCCCAUUUGUUCUUUAGAAUCCUCUGGUAAUGGUCCGGCAACAGGCUUUACCUUCUUAUCUGCCAUUUUAUAUCUCGUCUCUACUGUGACUUCUGGUGGUUGAAAAGAUUCAAGCAUGGUAUAAACCUCUCUCGAAUGAAUCUCAACAAUCUUAUCAUUAUCCCCUAACCCAAUAGAUGUAAUCAAUUCCAAUGAAUCUUCUAUCCCAUUUUCUUCAUAAACACCCAAAAUCCUCUCAUCAUCUUGCAAUGUACCUAUCUUGCGUAACUGUCCUUCAAUAUCAUAUAAUCUUUUUCUUUCUUUUCUUUUAAAAUCUUCAACUUUCUUAUACAUAAUAUUUCCAUUCUCCAAUAUACCAAUAAAACUCGCAUCAAAGGCACCUUCAUCUCGCGAGAGUACCUCCUCUUUUGUACCUCCAUAAUCUUGCUUUACAGUGGUACCUCCCCAAAAUCCUUAAAUCCUUCAACAAUCUUUCGCAAUGGUUUCUCCUCAACCUAUCUCGAUUCCGUUCAUGGUUAGGAGGUAUUGUUAGAAAUUGUACAGUUUUCCUCCCAUCCUCGCUACAUACCCUUGCUUAAGUAAAACCAUCGUCAAGUACUUUUGUUUCCAUCCGUGUUGCCAUAAUAUAAGGUUGUCCUAAAAUCAACGGAUAAGACGUUGUAUCUUGAACGAAGAAAUGUUGCUCCGUCGCAACAUCCCCAAUCCGAAUUUUGACAUCUGGACAAGCUCCAUAUAAUUCGCCUCGUGUGUUAUUAGCUGCUCGUAUUGUCCAUCCAUGUUCCAUAUCAAUUGGCCAUUUUUGCUUCUUAUAAAGAUCUUUAGACAUGAGAUUUAUUUCAGAACCAUGGUCCACCAAAGCAACUAUUGGUUCCUCUAUAUCUCCUACCUUCACCAAUACCUCAGUAGUUGCCCUUGCCCAAUGCUUUCGAGUAUAAUGGCUCAAAGUUUCCAUUUCCUUGUCACUAGAAUCGUCGAAACAUACUCGCUGAUUAUACCCAUUCUUUUCAUUUGUUGGUUGCUUGUAACCAAUAUCAACCUCUUCUUCAUCUCUACAUAUUCUUGCAUCAAUAGCAUGACUCAUUCCAGUUUCGCUCAUUAAUUACCUCUUUCGCUUAAUACUGUCAAUGAUAACAUCAUGAAACUCCUUCUUUGUAAUUUUUAAGACUUCUUUCAAUGUGAAUUCCACCUUAGCGUUUAAUAUACGUUCUUCCAACACCCCUUUCAAAUUUGUUGCCGCUUCAAUGUCCGAAAGUAGCUUAUAAGCAAUUGAUUUGCCCUUAUCUUUUGUCUCCGUUGUUUUUUCUCCCAAUGAUGUUGAGGUAUCCUUUACAGGCAAUUCUUGUGAAGAUGCCUCCCGAGCCUUGUCUCCUCGAGUUUGCCUCUUAAAAGAAUUUCCUUCUCUAGUAUCAUCAAAAUUUUCUCGUCUUUUUUCUUCCAUCAAAGCUUCAUGUUGGCUCUUAGCAAUAUAUGCAUGAACUGAAAGAGACUCAACGGGAUCCUCCCAACCUGUUGUUCCUCGUAUUGUAGCUGUAGUUCUCAAUAACGCUUCUCGAGGUAAUUUCCCUUCUUGCAUUGUAGAAACGGCAGAAGCCCAAAACUCACUAGUUUCCGUACUUCCACCAAUUCCAUCAUCUACUCUAGCACCAUAACUUGCACUUUCUCGUGUUACUGUUUCAUGCCCUUUUAAGUAAUCUUGAACCAAUGCUCUCAUUCCUCCCUUGCCAAAAUUGGUUUGAAGAAGAUCCUCCCUAUCUUUCAAUACUAUCUUCCCAUCUUUCCAGCAAAUAAUUCCCUGCCGUAUCAUAUUAUUAAAUUCAUUGCAAUCUUUUCUAGUGUGUGAAGCAUCAUUACACCAAAUGCAUCUUUGUACAUAUCCUUGUUUUGAAACAUUCUUCGAAUUAUUUAUAGAAGUAUUCUCUUCAAGUCUUGCCAAUUUGAUUUGAAGAUCUCGCAUUCCUCGUAUAAUUUCUUCCAUACCCAUAUCUGCUUUCUUUGACAAGGAUGUCGAAGGUUGAACUGUAGGCAUUGUCGGUGGUGUAGUACGUACUGGAGCUUUGGGUGCUUGUACUGGUUUCGGAAUAUUACUCCUAUCCUUCCUCCUUUCUUUUUUUGUAAGCAACCUCACCGCAUCUUCAACGUUCUUCCACUUCGUUGUCAAUCCUUCAUCUUCUUCUUUGUCUUCAAGAAGGGGUUCUAAUUUCUCUUGUAAUUCUCCAUCAGCAGCUUGAAGAAAUAGAUCAACUUUUUUUGGCUCCAAUGUCAAUUUUUCUACCUUCGAUAAUUGAGAGUACUGCCUCUCAAAUUCCCUUAGUAGCUCUGUUGCUUGCAAAUUCUUAUUGGGCCGUUCAAUCCAUCCCAGAAACAGCUUCUUAGUAACACGAUCAGCAUCUUCCAAGAAAUAUUCGUCUUUCAAUGCAUGUGAAAAAUCCUCCCAUGAAUUCCCACAACGAUCCGUAAUCGAUGUAAUGUGGUCCCUUAUCUCCGGUAUCGUGGCAAGUCCAAAUAGUGCAACCAUUUUCUUCUCAGAAACCCGAUUUAAUUCCAUUUCACGAACAUAACAUCUUAAAUACCUUGAAAUAUUCCUCCCAUCAAAUUGAUCAAUUUUAUUGACCACUGCUUGCAAUGCUUUGGUUGCCAAAGCUUCCUUUCGAUCAUUGCUUUGCUGUUGCUGCAUUGACAAUGAGAAGGCUUGAAACAAACUAGCAAUAGACGGAUCCAUGUGCAUACCUUGUCCUUUAGAAGACUCCCCACCAGAAACUUCUCCCAAAAAUCCUUCAAAAUUUUUAUUUUCGUUUUCCAUAAAAAUAAAGAUAAAAUCAACCGAAAUCCAAUACCUUCUACCUCAAGCUUUCACGUCGGGUUCACCACUUAUGUCGUAUUACGUGCUUUCCUGCUCGAGAACGCGCCGGGCGUCUGGCUGUAGAAGGUAGUAUGGAGAUUCACCGAUAGUCAAGCAGUCUAUCAGUUUUUGACUGCUGGAAUAUAAACGACUGCAGCAAUGUACCGUAAAUCUAUACGGGUGCUCUUCGACUGCUUGUCGAAGUCCUUUUUGCCCCAGCCGGUAGGUCUCUAGACGUUACAGAGAACCCCGUACAACCCAAACUGUUAACCUUCAAUACUGCUUUGUACUUACGAUCUUGUAUCCACUGACUGUCUUGUUAGAUUAACCCAAUAAAUUUCAUUCACUCCGCAUAUUCAAUCCUAUAGACACCCUUUUAAUCCUUCAAUCACAGACGUAACUCGAUUUCACAAAACAGUCAAGAGUAUUCAAACCCACUUCAUUUAAAAAUCCCGAUUCACCAUUACAACACUGACUUCAGCAGCGAUUGCCUCAGUCUUCCCCAAAACUCUACGAAGAAGAAAAAUCCAAAUUCUAUGUCUUUCCUUCCCCGACCCAAAGCAUGAAGCUCCUCUCUCUAAUUCCCUUGAUCUUCAAAAAAACUCCAAUAAAAAAAAACCGAACUGGUAACCUUGCAGAAGCUUGAAAAAUCCUUCCCCCCCGAUUUCCCCUCAAAAAAAAAACCACCUCCAAAACUAUUUCCCACCUAACCUUAUCCUCUGAAUUUCUUCAAUCUUCCGUCUUAGAUCCGGAAUUGGCUCCCACCUCAAGCUUGGAUCCGAAAUUGGCUCUCGCCGUCAAGCUUUCUCCUCCGUUUUUGCCUUUAAGAAAUCCAUUUACCGAAAACAACGUUCCCUGAGACGGCACAGAGAACAGGACAGCCUGAAACAGAAUGGAACCCCGUAAUCGGGACCACAUUGAGUCGCCCGACCAAUUCAGGUCCUAUAUUGGAAAAGAUGCCCGUAAUAACCUGGAUGUUCCUGUAAUUGGGUCAAAUUGGUCCUCGUGUCAGAUUGGCUAAGACCUGUAGUGAGACCUGGAUUUUCCGUAAUUAGACUGCACUGGGUUGACCGGCCAAUUCAGGUCUCAUAUUGGAUAAGAGGACCCGGAUUGGAUUAUCGAAAUUGGAUCCAAUUGGCUCCUUGAACCCGUCUUGUGAAUUGGUCCUUCUCUUCCUGCUGACUCCCGUUAUUGGGAUCGAAUGGAGCAUUUCAGUAUGCCUCGGCUGACUGUAACGGAGUGACUGAACCUGACCACUCAGUAUUUGUACUGGAGUUGGUCGAUGCUCCCAAUAUUCGAGGUAACUGAAUAUUAAUAAAAUUUCCCUUUCUUUUUAUUUUCACUGUAUAAUCGUGUUACAACACGACAACGUGUUCUAUCUCUAACUCCUCCACUUCCAACUCCUCCAAUACCUCGUUGCCCCCGACAUCUCCUAAAGCCUUUUCUAAAUUCCUUCUAAUGUCUCCUUUAAGAAAUUCUUCAUUACUUCUACUAUUAAUGAGUGUAUUCCGAGAAGGGGUUGCUUCCUUGUUAUCCACGACCUUGCCGCCACGUCUUCCAAUACGUUCAAGUCCUUGGUUCAAAGUAGGUUUUUGAGAUCUAGUUUUCGGGAACAUCUAAACGUCCUCACUGACCUUCUCUCAUUACCUACUAACCCAUUUUUUUUUUUUUUUUUUUUUUGAAAUUUUUACAUUGAUAAUUAAUAAUCUAGCCUACCCUCAGGUGGGUAGGGAACGCAAACCACCAAGAUAGUAUUUACGGGCGAUGACAUGGAAUUCACCAAGGCAAACCAGCCCGCUAGUCCAAUCUUGGCAUACGGUACAACCUAUGUUGUGGGGCUUACCCGGUCAGUAAACGAGACACUGUGAUUCCGCCUUCGCGGCCAGAACCUCCCUCGUUCUCAAUUCAGCUCACUGCCGAGGCAUUAUCCACUAACAAGGCAACGACAACGACGAAUUAUAAUCCUAAGUUAACAUAGAUCAUUCAAUGUAUGAUAGCUUACCUCAUGCAAUUCCAGCUUCCUGCACAAUUAAUAUACCACCGGCCUCUCGAUCACAUGCUAAGGUUUCUAGCACAAACUACCAUAGAUAUCCCUAGGACCCACAUACCUUCUGCUGUGCUCCUUCCAAUCACGACCCCAUCAUUUUACUCCUAUUAUCUCCUUCCUCCAUGUAAUCAAUCAUCUCAACUCAAAAAAAAAAAAAAAAAAAAAAAAAAAAAAAUUGUUAGACAACGUCUCUAAGAUCGGCUCCCGGCAAACACACCAUUUAUGUGAGCUAAAUUCCUCCACCCUUAAUUGCAUUUAGUAGUCAAGUGGAUUAACUUCACUCACACGCAAUUUUUAUAAAUCCUAAGUUCAUCUAUAAAUCCUAAGUUCAUCCAUAAAUCCUAAGUUCAUCCAUAAAUCCUAAGUUCAUCCAUAAACCCUAAGUUCAUCCAAAAACCCUAAGUUCAUCCAGAAACCCUAAGUUCAUCCAAAAACCUGAAGUUCAUCCAAAAACCCUAAGGUUCAUCUAAAAACCCUAAGUUCAUCCAAAAAUCCUAAGUUCAUCCAUAAACCCUAAGUUUAUCCAUCUUAAAUUUCCCUUCAUCAAUCAUCCAUCCCUUAAAUCUCAUUCAUCCUAUAACAUUCAUUCAUUCAAAGUUUGUUCAUCCAAUUUUCAUCUAAAGAUUCAUUCAUCCAACCAUAAGUCAACUUAUCAUCCAACUGAUAAUUCGUGCAAUUGACCUAAUUCAUCCAAGAUUCAUCCUAAAAAUUAAAGAAAAUUGGAAGUCGCCACCUUCCAAGUCAUGGUAGCGACCCCCUUGCACGAAUUCCACUACAAUGGUUGCAUCACUAACUUGUUUAUAACAAGCUUUGCUAUUUUAGAAAGUAGACUUACAAGCGCUUGUCCUCCAACAAAAUUCAAUGCAAAACAACAAUUAAGCUAAGAGAAAUCUUGCCUCAAAGUUGCCUGACUUUCUCGGCCUAGUCAGAGCACCCCUGGCCACAAAAACCCUUGCCCUUGCUCCAUUCCAGUUGUGCAAUGCACAUGCUUUAGCAUUCCAGAAACUAGAAUUGAAGCCGCAUCACCUCCAACAAUUUUUUUUUGAAAAUCUUGAGUGAAUUCCAAGAUAUGACCUUCCAAAGUAGCUUGAGUUGGCGGAGUGCUACAUCUUCACCACGGCCGACUCCUCUUCACUCCAACCACCAUAACUUCCUUGGCCUUUACUCAAUCUAAGCGUGCAAAUAGUCCUUGCAAAGCUGACAACAAGAACCAUCCCCCACAAAAGUUUCAGGUCCAAAUUCAAUACUUUCCGCCAACACUCGCCUUCCAAAGUCGGACCUCCAGAUCUGGCCGGCAGCUGACCUCCUUGUCACUAAAACCACCACAACUUUCUUGUUUUCUCUCCAAACAAAGCGUGCCUACUGUCCCGAGGAAGCUAACGACAAGAUCUAACUAUUGGUAAAGUUUGACGUUCUAUUUCCAGAUAACUAAUACACUACAGCUGCACAAUUGCAGCUCUAUAGAAACAAGGGUACGUGGGGAUGCAAUUUGGCAUGGCUUCACCCCAAAAAAAAA
RNAcentral lists this long non-coding RNA (17074 nucleotides) under Physcomitrium patens. RNAcentral describes it as "long non-coding RNA (PPAT_LNC012279)". Lineage: Eukaryota; Viridiplantae; Streptophyta; Bryopsida; Funariales; Funariaceae. The record is from RNAcentral.